GCCCUAGUAGCUUAACCUCUAAAGCACCGGUCUUGUAA
Molecule: transfer RNA, 38 nt
Filed under: Scleropages formosus (Asian bonytongue)
Lineage: Eukaryota; Metazoa; Chordata; Actinopteri; Osteoglossiformes; Osteoglossidae
Description: partial tRNA-Thr
Source: RNAcentral